Molecule: non-coding RNA, 13109 nt
Organism: Doryrhamphus excisus (bluestripe pipefish)
Lineage: Eukaryota; Metazoa; Chordata; Actinopteri; Syngnathiformes; Syngnathidae
Source: RefSeq, a predicted model, not a curated record
CCGGCUGUGGUCCAUUUCUUAUCCCGCCACUCGAGCUGACAUUUGAUGCGCUUUUCAUGUCGACUUUGACAUUCAGCCGCCGUCUCUUUUGUAGACGUAAUGUGUUUUCAGAAGGCUUGACAGAUUGACAUUUAUUUGGCGACCAAUCGGCGCUCAGCGGGCGUAAAAAAAAAAGGGUAACGUUAUCGGGAUUGAAAUUUGAUCACGUUUUAAUGGCACAAUUUUUAUCGAACGUAAGAGUCGCAUUUUAACGGCAACGCCGUGCUAGGCUAGCUUGUCGGCUGAAGAACAUCAAAAGGAUCAAAUUUACAGCUUCCACAACUGUCGUUGACUGAUUUUUUUCGGGGUGGGGGGGUGGGUGAAGGUACCCCCGGUCAUGUGUUUUCACAUAUUCGAUCGCAUGUUUUGACUUUGUGGAUUAUUUUGAAGUCUUGUUUAUCUUUCAAUGAUAAAAGGUGGCGGUUAUCAGAUGUAACUCUCGAGGAAUGAUGGCAUAUUUGGACUUUGGUGAUUAUUUAUUUGAAGUAUUUCUAUUGCUUUCUAUUAUGAAAGGCGAUGGUUGUCAAAUGUAGCUGUAGAGGAUCGAUCGCAUGUUUUGACUUUGUGGAUUAUUUUGAAGUCUGUUUAGCUUUCUAUGAUAAAAGGUGGCAGUUAUCAGAUGUAACUCUCGAUAGUCUCUCUCUCAUAUUUUGACUUUGGUGAUUAUUUAGAGUUUCUAUUGCUUUCUAUUAUGAAAGGCGACGAUUGUCAAAUGUAAUUGUUGAGGAUCGAUCGCAUGUUUUGACUUUGUGGAUUAUUUUGAAGUCUGUUUAGCUUUCUAUGAUAAAAGGUGGUGGUUAUCAGAUGUAACUCUCAAUAAAUUAUGCCAUAUUUUGACUUUGGUGAUGAUUUAUUUGAAGUAUUUCUAUUCCUUUCUAAUAUGAAAGGCAAUGGUUGUCAAAUGUAACGGUUGACGAUCGAUCGCAUGUGUUGUGUGGAUUAUUUUAUUUUGUCUGUUUAGCUUUCUAUGAUAAAACGUGGCGAUUAUCAGAUGUAACUCUCGAGGAAUGAUGGCAUAUUUUGACUUUGGUGAUGAUUUAUUUAAAGUAUUUCUAUUGCUUUCUAUUAUUGAAGGCGACGGUUGUCAAAUGUAACUGUUGAGGAUCGAUCGCAUGUUUUGACUUUGUGGAUUAUUUUGAAGUCUGUUUAGCUUUUUAUGAUAAAAGGUGGCGGUUGUCAGAUGUAACUCUCUCAAUAUUAUUUAGAGUAUUUCUAUUGCUUUUUAUUAUGAAAGGCGUCGGUUGUCAAAUGUAACUGUCUAGGAUCGAUCGCAUGUUUUGACUUUGUGGAUUAUUUUGAAGUCUGUUUAGCUUUCUACAAUAAAAGGUGGCAGUUAUCAGAUGUAACUCUUGAGGAAUGAUGGCAUAUUUUGACUUUGGUGAUUUUUUAGAGUUUCUAUUGCUUUCUUAUUAAGAAAGGCGACGGUUGUCAAAUGUAACCGUUGGGGAUCGAUCACAUGUUUUGACUUUGUGGAUUAUUUUGAAGUCUGUUUAUCUUUCAAUGAUAAAAUGUGGCGGUUAUCAGAUGUAACUCUCGAGGAAUGAUGGCAUAUUGCAUGUUAAUGAAUGGUCAGUGACAGGAACAUGAAUACCAGACCAUGAAACGCCUGGAGUGUUUUUCAAUUGAAGAAACUUGACUGCAACACAAACCUUUCACCCUGAGACACUGACAAACAUCUGACAAACCUUUCCGACAAAUUACGCUGUCAUUUUGUAUUUUUGCAAUAAUGACUCCCAUGUGAAAAAGGCCCGUCUUACUCAUCACAGCCAGCAUGUGAUUUGUACUUGGCUUUGUAGUACUUUGAUGGAAGCUGCUAAAACUGGUUCCCUUGCAUAUGAUUGAAGGUGUUGGAGUUUUUUUCCAUAAAACAAAAACACAUUAAUUGCCCGUUUUCUCGCGGUAACUUGAAGGAAACGCGAUGUAAACAAAUUUAUAGCCCUGAAAUGAACGUCAGUCAGGUUUUGAUAAGCCGCUGACAUUUUCUGUCUGCUAACUGAGGGUCAGUUGUCCAUUUUCAUAAAUUGGAGCAUCCGGAGUUUAAAAUAUUUCCUGUUCUUGACCCUGCACGGUUGUUCUUUGACUUGACCCGGAAGCUUCUAGUUACAGAUAAACCUCAAGACGCAGCGACCUCAAACGCAUUUCUCUUGCAGGUAUUGAUGAUUGAUGCCGCCAGGCAGCAGGAGCAUGGGGUGGGCGGGACACAUGUUUGCCCUCCAUGUCAACCUGUGAGUGUGCACUCGUUUAAAAAAAAAAAAAAUCUCCACUGUCUGCACGCUGAAUUAUUUUCAGGCCAGUGUGCAGCGACAGCAAACGUGAUGAAUGAAAGAGCCCCCCCCCUUUGCCCCCCCACCCCCGGGGCCGUCAACACAAUUGAAACGGCGUCUGGUUAUUAGAUCGUCCUUCUUGCACUAACGAUGCUAUUUAGAUGUCUUUUAGUCGCUUUCUCAUGCGCGGCGACUCGCUGAUCGAUACAUCAGAGAUGGUGUGUGUGUGAGGUUCCAGCUGGAUGAGAACAUGUUUGAUUUCCUCUGUUGUGACGGUAGAGCAUUAGCAAUCAUGAGUAGAAAAUGCACAGUGUUUUAUUUGAUUUACAUGAUGCAUUCAUGUGCAAAAAAUGGCCUCAGUUUUUGAAGGAUCUUUUGAACAGAUGAACGAAAAGCAAGCAAGGCACUACAGCAUUUCACUGCUUUAUUUGUUAGCAGGAUUACGCUAACAUACAGUCAUCCCUCGUUUAUCACUGUUUGGUCCCGGAAUCGAAUACGAUAAGUGAAUUUCCGCAAAGUAGGAUCCAAUAUUAAUAAACAUAUUUGUAGUUAGAGCAUGGAAAACCAGUUCAUGACUUUCUAAAUACAAUCUUUCCCAUUGUUAUUCUUUGUUUAAGCCACAUUGCUCAACGCUAAUGCGCAGGCAGUGGAAUAAGACGGCCAUUUUGUUAAACAUUAGCAAGCUAACGAGUUAGCCUCCAAUUUAUUUACUGUAUUCUAACUUGAGAAAGUGUUUAAAACGGAGUGGGUAGAAAGACAAAGAUGCCCAGACCUACCACUUCCACACGGAAUAGGAGGAUAACUCCAUCUAAUAGUACAUUACUGUUGCUUCGUGACCAGAAUACUACAUAUAAUACUAUAAUACUAUUUCUUGACUCAUAAAUACGCCAUAGUCAACCACGAAGCAGCGAGCAUUUAUUCAUUUUUGAAAACCGUGAUCGAGCAGUGGAGCAAUGUUCAAACCAGGGAUGACUGUAUCCGCUUUUUUGGCUUUUUUUUGGUGCCUAUUUGGUUGCUAUGUUUAUUAGCGCCACAUGCAGGACUCCAGUGGAACUGUAGCAUCCAGAAUAUUGUGAGAGUUUUCCCAUAAUUUGUACAAAAGAGCGUUGCUGGACGCCCUCACCCUUUUUUUUGUGCUAUAUUAUGAUACUAAAAAUGCAUAAUUCAAGCUCGGAAAGCACACUGAGAGAGAUUUAUUGUGGGUUUUCCUUGUGUGCGUUGUAUGGAAUAAUUCAAGCUCUCUUCUUUAAAGUAAAGUAAAAUCUCAGAUAUUGGCUCAUUAAAAUCAAAAGCCCUUUUUACGCAGGCACCGCUGUUGGCGCCGCGCCUCAUUCCGUAUAAACCAAUAAGCCUGCUCAUUCACUCAUAACGCUGGAUUGCAUUGCGAUGGAGAAUGGAAGCUCUGCAGAAGACACACCAAAUGAUAUUAAAUGAUACUAAUAAGUCCAAGAGAUCUUGUAUAUUUACAUUUAGUUAACAUUUCUUACCCACUUAUGAUACCACUUUAUGGUAUAGCUGAUUAUUCUAAUGAUAAAGACUUUAUUCAGCCUUAUUUUUGGCAAAAAUACUCAAAUAUUAGUGCAGCAAUGGAUAAUUUCAUCUUGUUUUAUUUAGUUUUUUUCAUCUGACCCUCUAGUGGAGUAUUUCACCAUGUUGGAAUCAUGUUUUUGCAUCAUCUGGCACAAGAAAAUGAAGGUUUUAAUGGCCAGAAAGCAACACAACGGCAGACAAAACACUGACACAUGGUGGCCAUACUAACACACACACACACAUGCAUUUAGCACACACAGCAAUUGAGCGCGACUACAUUAGUGUUCCACUCAAGUGGGGUUUCUCACGUCGCUGUCUCCAUUGCGCAGGAUCGAUGCCCCCCCACCCCCACCCCACACCCACUCGCUUUACAUUUAUCUGGUGAUUAGUCAUGAAGUAAAAAAAAAAAUGACAAAUUGGCUUAUCGGCCCCAGAAAGCUUUAAAAAGAAGGAGGAAGGUCAGAUAUUCCCCAGACGUGACCCCUACUGCUGCUGCUGCUGUUGUUGAUGAUGAUGAUGUAAUGAUGUGCAAGCCCCUCCCCCUCUUCACCUCCUUCUCCUCAUCUCCCCUUGGGGGGGGUCACUGUUGAAGACAUUAAUGAUGGCAGUGCACAGCUAAACACCUGAGCUUUUUUUUUGGUAUUAUUGUUGUGAAGCAUUACAUCAUGGUUGGAGGUGGGGUGAGGUGGGGGGGCAGGGGAGGUGAUGUCACGCCGUGGGUUCCCGUCUCCCCUCCCCGCCUUAAUAUCUGGCUUUGUCUGAGCCGGUUGUGUCUGGAUGAUAAAAUGAAUAUUUUGUGUUGUAUUUGAAAUGGCAUUAUUUGUUCUGUUUUAUAUUUUUUCUUUAUUGCAAUGCUUUAUUUUUCAUUUAUUUUAGAUAUAUUUAUAUUAGUUUGGUGUUGAGAUGCUUUUAAAAAAAUUCAUCAUUGUAACUGUGUUUUGAUAUAGUGUUGUAAAGCUCAAAAAAGUGCAGAAAUUUGACCUUGAAAAAGGGUUAUAAUGUAAGUGUUGAGCAUAAAAAAAUGAUAAUAAUGAGUUAUAUAUCAGAAAUUUGGCAUUUCAGUUAUGAGUAUGACCUCUGUUGCUGUUGUGUUUAUUUGCAAAACGCAUUUCCGUGAAAACAAAGUGGAUGUGGGCCAAAAGAAGAAGUUCGGAAUUUUUUCUACCUGCUUUGACUUUUUGUUGCUUUGACUUUGCAAGAUGGUUGAUUUAAAAUAGUGCUUAUUUGGUGCUGAGCCAAAGCGAGAUUACGUGGCCUUGGCGGAGGGCCGUUCAUUCGUAUAGGUUCUGUGUGGUCGACCAUCUAGUGGAGGAAGGGUUGUUUUUUUUUUGGACAUUAAUGGCGUACAGCUGAGAGAAGCAAAGCGACGUCUCAGUUUUUUUUACUCUCUACCCCUCCUCCUUCUCUUUCACGCUCGCUGUUUCUGUUGCCCCAGCAACCGUGGGCUCCCAGAGGGUGCAAAGCAAAGGCGGGAGGGGUGGGGUGUGCUUGUGCCGAGCUCGGUUUCCAUGGCUACACCAGCUGAGAGGCAGUGACAGAGUGACAUCAUUGUCAAUGUUUUUUUUUCCUCCUUCAGUGCCAUCUUUUUGGCCUGGGAAAAAAUGACAUAGAGCCACCCUUUUUUUUUGGUCUCCUUCAUUGUGUUACCAUGCCAACCGUUUCCAGCCAGGCCCGGAGUGUUAACGCUCGGAGUGAUAAUGGCUGCCACGCUCGCCUCCCUCUCUCUUCCAUGCCAUCUCUGUCUGGGGGCGUUGUAAGCCCUCUAGAGGAGCACACGGCCGCUGCUGGCAAGAAGGAGGUGCUUAUAAUACAACCCCCCCCCCCCCACCUUCACCACCACUCCACAGCCAUCCCCCUCCUCCACCCGUGACACACAUACACACAUGUGCCCACCCCCCACAUUCGGGCUUGCAAACAAACCGCUGUCUUCAUAGAGGAUGCUGCGCUAUCCUAACACUUCUCAUGGUGCCUAAACGCAUCUCGGACGCGGGAGGGGAGAGAGGUGGAGGUGAAGUGGAGGUGCUGCUACUGUGAGCCAAAGUGUUGUCAGGCGUUUUCCUCCUUUAUUUAUUUCCCUCCUCCUCCUUUUCAUCCUCCCCCGUUUUUUUUUUUUUUUCCUGCUCUCGGCGGCAGUGCGCUCGGCCGCGGCUCGCUCCAGCGAGGCUGCAAGGAGCUGCUGCUUCGUCUCGGAUAUUUGCCCACUCCCUGCUGCUUCCUCUUUGGAUUUAACGCCUGAGUGUCGAUCGGGAGAUCUCCGAGACCUGCACAGGAAGCGGUGGAUACUCCCUUAAGUGUCAACCCGCCAAGGGAGGGGAAGAGGGCACGCAGCGUGCAGGGAAAUGGGGGGCUGCGUAGAACACGCCCAGGGAUGUUAGAUUAUUCUGAUAUUUUUAUACCAGAGAGGAGUUUUUCAUGAUGAAACCGUUAGCAGCCGCGGCGGCAGACAGCAAUGGAGUGUCCGGCCAGCAAGACAAAACACCGCUCCCCGCAGACUUCAGCAGACUUCACCUGGCUGACGGCUUACACCCACAGGUGACCCACGUGUCCUCCAGCCACUCAGGAUGUAGUAUCACCAGCGACUCCGGAAGCAGCAGCCUGUCAGAUAUCUACCAGGCCACAGAGAACGAGCCCGGCGACAUGGACCUGAGCGGCCUGCCGGAGACCGCCGUGGACUCGGAGGAGGACGACGACGAGGAGGACAUCGAGCGAGCGUCGGACCCGCUGAUGAGUCGGGAUAUCGUGCGGGACUGCCUGGAGAAGGACCCCAUGGACAGGACGGACGAUGACAUCGAGCAAUUACUGGAGUUCAUGCAUCAACUGCCGGCCUUCGCCAACAUGACCAUGUCUGUGAGGCGGGAGCUCUGCGCCGUCAUGGUGUUCGCCGUGGUGGAGCGCGCUGGCACCAUCGUUCUCAACGACGGCGAGGAGCUGGACUCGUGGUCGGUCAUCUUGAACGGCUCGGUGGAGGUGACGUACCCCGACGGUCGCACUGAGAUUCUGUGCAUGGGCAACAGCUUUGGGGUGUCGCCAACCAUGGAGAAGGAGUACAUGAAGGGUGCCAUGAAGACCAAGGUGGACGACUGCCAGUUUGUGUGCAUAGCCCAGCAGGAUUACUGCUGCAUCCUCAACCAAGUGGAGAAAAACAUGCAGAAGGUGGAAGAAGAAGGCGAGAUUGUCAUGGUGAAGGAGCACAGGGAACUGGACCGCACCGGGACCAGGAAAGGACACAUUGUCAUCAAGGGCACAUCGGAGCGUCUCACCAUGCACCUCGUGGAAGAACACUCAGUGGUGGACCCUACCUACAUCGAGGACUUCCUGUUGACCUACAGGACUUUCCUCUCCAGCCCCAUGGUCGUGGGCAAGAAGCUCUUGGAGUGGUUCCACGACCCAAGUCUCAGGGACAAGGUCACACGGGUGGUCCUGCUGUGGGUCAACAAUCACUUCAAUGACUUUGAGGGUGACCCUGCCAUGACUCACUUUCUGGAAGAGUUUGAAAACAACCUGGAGAGAGAAAAAAUGUGCGGUCACCUGCGACUGUUAAACAUAGCGUGCGCCGCCAAGGCCAAGCCACGGCUAGUGACGCUGACCAAGCCGUCCAGGGAAGCGCCGUUGGCCUUCAGCCUCCUUGGCGGGCAGGAGAAAGGCUUCCGUGUAUUCAUCGAUGCCGUGGAGCCUGGGAGCAAGGCAGCAGAGGCCGGCCUUAAACGAGGGGAUCAGAUUCUGGAGGUGAAUGGUCAGAAUUUUGAGAAUGUCCAACUCAGCAAAGCCAAUGAGAUUCUGAAGAACAACACCCACUUGUCCAUAACUGUGAAAACCAAUCUAUUAGUCUUCAAGGAACUACUAACCAGGCCCGAGCAGGACCAUGACGUCGACGGCGAGGAGGAACACGACAGGAAGAACGGUGCGCCCCACCUCCCCAAAAUCGGGGACAUCAAGAAGGCCAGUCGCUACUCCAUACCCGACCUGGCGGUGGACGUGGAGCAGGUGAUGGGCCUGGAGAAGGCCAACAAGAAGGCCAAGACCAACACUGUGGGUGGACGCAACAAGCUCAAGAAGAUCUUCGAUAAGACGCUCACUAGCAUCCUGCCACCUAAACCCUACAAUGACGUGUGCGUGGGGCAGUCGCAGGAUGACAGCAUCGUCGGCAUGAAGCAGUCCAAACAGAUCCCCCCGGCGCUGCCCGUCAGCGGAAACCUCUCGUCUUCAAACCCGGACCUCCUGCAGUCCCACCACCGCAUCCUGGACUUCAACAAUCAGCCCGAAAUGUCCGACCAGGUGUUGCGGGUCUUCAAAGCAGAUCAACAGUCCCGCUACAUCAUGAUCGGGAAGGACACCACGGCCAAAGAGGUGGUGGUGCAGGCCAUUAGGGAGUUUGCCUUGACGGCGGCACCUGAGGCGUAUUCGCUAUGCGAGGUGUCCGUCACCCCCGAGGGCGUCAUCAAACAGAGGCGGCUACCGGAUCAGUUGUCGAAGCUAGCGGACAGGAUACAGCUCAGCGGAAGAUACUACUUGAAGAGCAACAUGGAGACGGAGACGCUCUGUUCGGACGAGGACGCCCAGGACCUUCUCCGCGAGGGCCAGAUCUCCCUGCUGCAGCUGAGCACGGUGGAGGUGGCCACUCAGCUGUCCAUGCGUGCCUUCGAGCUCUUCUGCGCCAUCGAGCCCACCGAGUACAUCGACGACCUCUUCAAGCUGCGCUCCAAGGCGGGUUCGGCUAGCCUCAAGCGCUUCGAGGAGGCCAUCAACCACGAGACCUUCUGGGUGGCCACCGAGGUGACGCGCGAGCCCAAUCAGCUCAAGCGCAUGAAAACGGUCAAGCACUUCAUCAAGAUCGCGUUGCACUGCCGCGAGUGCAAGAACUUCAACUCCAUGUUUGCCAUCAUCAGCGGUUUGAACCUAGCGCCCGUCUCCAGGCUGCGAGGGACGUGGGAGAAGCUUCCCAGCAAGUACGAGAAGCUCUUUGGCGACCUGCAGGACCUCUUUGACCCCUCCAGGAACAUGGCCAAGUACAGGAACGUCCUCAACAACCAGAACCUCCAGCCACCCAUCAUCCCGCUCUUCCCUGUCAUCAAGAAGGAUCUCACCUUCUUACACGAAGGUAACGACUCCAAAGUGGACGGCUUGGUGAACUUUGAGAAGCUAAGAAUGAUCGCCAAAGAGAUCCGCCAUGUGGGUCGCAUGGCUUCGGUCAACAUGGACCCCGCUCUCAUGUUCAGGACCCGGAAGAAGAAGUGGAGAAGUUUAGGCAGCUCUCUGAGUCAGGGCAGCGCCAACGCGGCCGUGCUGGACGUCAACCAGACGGGCGGCCACAAGAAGCGAGUUCGCCGCAGCUCCUUCCUCAACGCCAAGAAGCUCUACGAGGACGCCCAGAUGGCCCGCAAGGUCAAGCAGUAUCUGUCCAACCUGAGCCUGGAGAUCAACGAGGAGAGCUUGCAGACGCUGUCGCUGCAGUGCGAGCCCUCCAUUAGCACGCUGCCCAAGAACGCUGGCGGCAAACGGCCCGACACGUCCCCCGUGGUGUCCAGAGCAGCCAGCCAACAGAGAGGCCAGCUCGCCAAAGGGAGCCAGGCCCUCCAGGUGCCCGCUGUGGCACUUUACCCUUCCCGCAAGAAGGUGCCCGUCAAGGAUCUGCCUCCUUUUGGCACCAGUUCUCCUCAGUCGCUGAAGAAGAUCCUGUCUUUGUCGGAGGAGGCCAGCGAGAGGCAUCGGAGGCAUCCAGAGGACACGCCGUCCAACGCCUCCUCCCAGCUUUCUUCGCCGCCCACCUCCCCCCAGAGCUCCCCUAAGAAGGGUUACAACCGCAUGGGCGACGCCUACUCGGACUCGGGUCACAGCGAGAUCUCGUCACGCUCCAGCCUGGUCAGUAACUUAUCUUUCGACAUGGCGCAUGACGACCGGAGGCUGCGGCACUCGGGAGGAGUCGGGGAUUCCCACGUGGGAGCCCGGUUGGAACGGCGAGCCACCACCGACCCCGACCAGUACAGCCUGGGGUCUUACUCAUCGAUGCAGGACUGUCGGGGCAUCUACGCCGGCUGCCCAACGGUACUCUCCUCGCCCAGUUCGGAAGAACUGACCCAGGAUCAGGGCGACCGCGUGUCCCUGGAUGCCGCCGACAGCGGCCGAGGCUCGUGGACAUCCUGCUCGUCCGGGUCACAUGACAACAUCCAGACCAUGCAGCAGGGCCGCAGCUGGGAGACGCUGUCCUUCGGAGGGGGGCUCCCGCCCGGCGGCUCCGAGGCCUUGCUAGGCGGGCCCGCCGCGUUGUGGGCGGCCCAAGCGAGGGGGAGCUGGGCCUCGGCCAGCUCGUCAUCAUCCUCGGCCGCUUACUGGGGGGAGGACUCGGAGGGGGACACGGGCACCAUCAAGAGGAGGGGCGGCAAGGACGUCAACGCCGAUCCGGAGACGAGUAGCAUCACGUCCACGGGGUCUGAGGAGGCCAAGCAGAUCGGCCGGCCGUCGCCGUCGCCCAUCACCGCUGGCUGUAAGGGUCUUAUCUCCCGGAAAGAAGGGCGAUACCGCGAGCCUCCCCCGACCCCGCCCGGCUACACGGCUCUGACCCUCUCCGACCUCGCCGAAGGCCAGCACCCGCCGCCCUCGCCGGCCCCCGCGUCCAUCAGCGCCGCCAGCACCACCUCCGCCGCCGCCGCCGCCACCACCACGGCGACGUCGCGCCGGCCGCCUGACUACACCACCGCACUGCAGCGUUCUCGCAUGGUGACGCAGUCGCCCGACUCGCAAGCCCACCAGCAGACGUCCAAGCAGAAUCGGGGUGGCAGCGGCGGGGGCCUUCAGCGCACGCGCUCGCCCGCGGAGGACCACGAGGCCGAGCAGGAAGAGGAAGAGGAGGGUGAGUCCUUGUCUCCCAAACUUGUCGCUCUGAGGAAGCCGAGGGCGCACCGCGCAUCCCAGACCCCCCGACCGUGACAAGAGUGUGUGUGCAGAGGGGGCGGGGUGUAAUAAAGGCAGGGCUCCUCCCCCCCCACACGGCAGAUGACGAGCAGGUGUCGGCGGUCUGAGAGGCCACGCCCGGGACGGAUGGACAGAUGGAUGGAAAAGCGGGCGGGUGUUAGAGACGGACAGAGGGCCGAUAGACUCUCAUCAUCAGUUACGUACGUGCCUGCUCUGCCUCCUGAUUGGUGGACUCCUCCUCGUCCCCCCUGCCUUAAAGCAUCAUGGGGGGUUGAACGACCCUGCAUGCAAAAAAAUCAAAUACUGUGAAGAAGAAGAAGAAGAAGAAGAAGAAGAAGAAGAAGAAGAAGAAGAAGAAGAAGAGGUCAAACGCUUGGCACUUUGGACAAUAAUAAAUAGAAAAAACACAGACUUUGACAAGCAGAGGACAGUCUGGAUGUGAUGUUUGCACUUUGCUCGUCUCUCCAUCAAGUAUUUGAACCCUCGACCCCCCCCUCCAGUAUUAGCGCACACACACACACACACCUACACACACACCUAGCACUUUGAGCACAAUGCUAGCGGACACGCGGCCUCCUGGACACCAGGGUAAGAGUGGACCAUCAAUGGAUCAUCUUCGUCUUCUGCCCAAAAGCACAAAAACAAGCUGAGAAUUUUUUUUUUGGGGGGGGGUUAAGGACAUGGAACCGGGGUGGGGGUUUUGGCUGUCAAUCAUGACAUCCUCUUUUAAAGAAGACGACAACGUUGUGUGAAUGUCCAAAGCGCCUUACAAACCACAUGACUUGCUUUUGUUUUUUUUUUUGUAGGAUCAAAGGAGACACACCCCCCACACACACAGCCCCCACCCCCAAAACCCCCAACCCCAGAGUGAAAUGCCUUAUUCGAGAUUUGGAGGUGAUUCCCCUCUUCUGUUAUGGCCGCUUCUUUCCAACAUCAUCGCUCCCCCACCCCCAAACCAAAACACUGACUGAACCUUUUUCAUUUUUUCAGACUUCGGUGGAGAAGUUUAAAAAAAAAAAACACCAAGAACCAUCAGUGACCUGAUGAAAUGAUGGAAAUAUGGAAAUAUGGAAAUAUGACCACAGUUGUCAUUUUACCAGAAUAAAGUGUCCCAUUUAAGAAUUCAAAUAUAUUAUUUUCAUGAGAAUAAAUUUGUAUCGUUAAGGAGAAAAUCUGUAUUAAUUUUCCUGCUAAUACAUUCAUUCAAAUGAUACUGGAAAAAAAAGAUAAAAGAUUUAUGUCUCAUUAAUACAACAUAUGGCAUAUUUAUGAUUUAUGACAAUAAUAUUACUAGUGGGGGAAAUAAAUUUUCAUUGAUAUUUUAAAUAAAUAUAAUUGUAAUAGAAUAAAAUGGCGAUAAUUACAGCAAAGUUACAUGAUAAUUAAGUAUUAUUAAAAGUCACACUUAAUAUAUUCCAAUAACUUUAUGACUAUGAAUUUAUUCUGGUAAUUUGACUACUUUUUCUCCGUAGCAUCACAAACUCCGCCCCCCCCCAAAAUGAAGAUGAUAUUGUGAGGAUGUCCAUCUUUAUUGGUGCAAGUUGUGUGUGUGUGUGGGGGGGGGGGGGUGAUAUUCCUGGUAGAAUCAGGAGUCCGGCUGUCAACGUUUUCCUCAAUCCCAGAUUGACGCUGAUCACAUUGAUCAGUUUUUUGGGGGGGAGAUUUAAAAAAAAAAAAAAAAAAAAAACAUCAAGGAGACGAUGAGACUGAAAACGGUGCCGUGUUUUCCACUGCGACGACACUAAAAACAUGUUUUUUUUGUUUCUUUUUUCGGUAUCGUGAUUUUUUUUGUUUUAUACGCUCCACGGCGUGUCGAUGGACGAGCGAGCGGUCGGGCUGCCAGCUCCUUUGGAAAAGUACCGUUGCACAAAGAGCGUAAAGAUUUGGUGUAGUGGCCGUAGAAGUGCUACUGUUUUUUUGACGUGUGAUGUCGGUGAAGACGUGUACAUUUUAGCUGGUGAUGUUCUCUCUCUCUUCCUUCUUGUACUACCGACCACCAUUCCCGCCUCUAUGUCUUUUACAAAGACCAUUGGUGGAGUACCGGAACUAUCUUUUCAUUUCCUCUUUCUUUUCUUUUUGUAUUUUUAAUACAAUAAUUGUACAUAUUGGUUAUAUUUUUGUUGAAAUGUAUUAUUGUUUAUGCCUCAACAUCCAGUUUGUAUGAAAAGCUGGGAAUCAAUAAAUACCGCAUACAGAAUUCCUUUUUUUUCCUUGUUGCUUCUCAGAAAGACGCAUCGAGUUUACGUGACCUUGUGUGACUUUGUGGCGAUGCCAUCCAUCUUCCACCAAGCCAGUUGGGUGCCAUGUCUUCCCCAAGGACUUCUACCGGUUAGACGUGCCCUGAACACCCCCCCCCCCCCCUCUCCC